This 1018-nucleotide ribosomal RNA is filed under the name Bacillus pumilus. Its description in RNAcentral is "bacterial SSU rRNA". It matches the Rfam family "Bacterial small subunit ribosomal RNA", at positions 37 to 1044 of the family's 1533-position model. The record is from RNAcentral. Lineage: Bacteria; Bacillati; Bacillota; Bacilli; Caryophanales; Bacillaceae.
GGGCAGUGCGGGUGCUAUACAUGCAGUCGAGCGGACAGAAGGGAGCUUGCUCCCGGAUGUUAGCGGCGGACGGGUGAGUAACACGUGGGUAACCUGCCUGUAAGACUGGGAUAACUCCGGGAAACCGGAGCUAAUACCGGAUAGUUCCUUGAACCGCAUGGUUCAAGGAUGAAAGACGGUUUCGGCUGUCACUUACAGAUGGACCCGCGGCGCAUUAGCUAGUUGGUGAGGUAACGGCUCACCAAGGCGACGAUGCGUAGCCGACCUGAGAGGGUGAUCGGCCACACUGGGACUGAAACACGGCCCAGACUCCUACGGGAGGCAGCAGUAGGGAAUCUUCCGCAAUGGACGAAAGUCUGACGGAGCAACGCCGCGUGAGUGAUGAAGGUUUUCGGAUCGUAAAGCUCUGUUGUUAGGGAAGAACAAGUGCAAGAGUAACUGCUUGCACCUUGACGGUACCUAACCAGAAAGCCACGGCUAACUACGUGCCAGCAGCCGCGGUAAUACGUAGGUGGCAAGCGUUGUCCGGAAUUAUUGGGCGUAAAGGGCUCGCAGGCGGUUUCUUAAGUCUGAUGUGAAAGCCCCCGGCUCAACCGGGGAGGGUCAUUGGAAACUGGGAAACUUGAGUGCAGAAGAGGAGAGUGGAAUUCCACGUGUAGCGGUGAAAUGCGUAGAGAUGUGGAGGAACACCAGUGGCGAAGGCGACUCUCUGGUCUGUAACUGACGCUGAGGAGCGAAAGCGUGGGGAGCGAACAGGAUUAGAUACCCUGGUAGUCCACGCCGUAACGAUGAGUGCUAAGUGUUAGGGGGUUUCCGCCCCUUAGUGCUGCAGCUAACGCAUUAAGCACUCCGCCUGGGGAGUACGGUCGCAAGACUGAUACUCAAGGAAUUGACGGGGCCCGCACAAGCGGUGGAGCAUGUGGUUUAAUUCGAAGCAACGCGAAGAUCUUACAGGUCUUGACAUCCUCUGACACCCUAGAGAUAGGCUUUUCCCUUCGGGACAGAAUGACAGUGGUGC